This is a long non-coding RNA of Clupea harengus (Atlantic herring), 689 nucleotides long. The record is from Ensembl. NCBI's taxonomy places the organism in Eukaryota, Metazoa, Chordata, Actinopteri, Clupeiformes, Clupeidae.
CCUGUGCUCGCCACCAUCUAUCAGGGCCAGGGCAGGAAAAAUAGCCAUUGUUCAUCUCCUAAACACCUAGCUGAGCAUGGCGCGAGUGUGAGAGAUGUUGAUUAGCAUGAAUGCUGCCAGAGGUUAUGGAGCAGAUGAUGAACGAGGCAGUGGAACGAGACAAGAGGACUCGAGUGUGCUCUGUCAGGAGAAUACCUGAAUGAUUCUCUAGUAUUCGGGGCUCUGAGGAAGGGUUUUACUGUGCAGUGGCCACCAGCAGACGGUCAGUUGAUGUCAAUCAAGUGUAAGUGGUUUUGAUUGUGUGUUUGCUUGUUCUCAGGUACUCCAGUGUUUGGUCCGUGAUGCCGAUGCAUGUUGGUGGUGGUGGUACGGGGCAUGGGGGUAUGUUACGUGGGUAUGUUAACUCUCCUGUUAAUGAUAAACCUCCUAAUAAGAUAAACAUUUAUGAGACCCCGUAGGGAAAUUCAGGUAUAAUAGCAGCAAGGUAAUGGGGAUAAAAUAAAUAAAUACAAAUGAAAAUAAAUAAUAUAAGUACAAUGCAGCUGGCCCUAGAUAUUAGAUAAAAGUUAUUAUGUGGUGUAUUAAUAGAAGAGGCCUAUGGCCUAAUUCUCCCAGCAUGGCUUCUUCCUCCUUUUCAAACCCAGGUUUGUCACUAAACCACGUGUUUGGAAUACUUGCCAGAGCAGAAC